Molecule: long non-coding RNA, 1408 nt
Organism: Mya arenaria
Lineage: Eukaryota; Metazoa; Mollusca; Bivalvia; Myida; Myidae
Exons: 3
Source: RefSeq, a predicted model, not a curated record
CUAGAUCAACCACAUGUUGUCAACUUUAAAUGUCUCUCAAAAGCAGUACGUCUGGAGAGUAUAUACCAUGAUGUUGCUGAUGAGGAAUCUGCAACAACCAUGAAAACCAUGGAUGGACAUGUUGAAGACUUCCGAGUUGGUAAAUUGCCAGAUUAAUCAUCUUAUACAAGUACACAAAUGCCUCAUAUUACUCAACUGACUGCUGUUGAACUUUCCUCUGAACAAACAUUCAACUACAUUCGGCCGAAGAUUUCAAUCUCAGACAGUGCUUAGCAGGUGACAGGUAUAACCAUGGUCAGUGACAAGGAAAUGAUAGUGAAUGGUAAACCUGUGACCCCAAGCUCAUAGAGAUCAGCCUCGACUUACUUCUUAAACUAACUCAAAAAGGCAGUUAUUGUUGCCCACAAUGGGAGGCGUUUUGAUUUUCCUGCAAUAAUUUCAGCAUAUACUUGUGUUUGUCAGUGUGAUUCUUUUGAAACAAAAAAAUGUGAAAAGUUUUAUGUUUGUUUCAAAAGUUAACAAUGAUUAUGUUGAUAAAAAUGCCCUAGAAAAUAGUCUCCUAGCAAAAGCUGCACACUACAAUUUUUAUCUAGUAAAGAAUGUGCUAAGAACAUGCCAAGAUUAUUAAGAUUUGUUGCGUUUGUUUGAUGAAAACAGCAACUGCGGAAAACUGGGUCUGGGCUGAAUGUUCAACAUUUAAAGAAAAUAUAUUGACGCUCUGGUCAAGAUGGACUUUAAGUACACUUACAUGGAAAAGCUCUGAAGGACAAACAUGCAUAACAAAUGACAAAAGAACUCUGGAAGCUGUUGUUCCAAAAUUUGAACACUUUUUUGGAAAAAAGGAAAAUGUGUGAAAUUGAUGUUCAAAUAUAUGCAUAGUUAAUGCUUAAAAACAUGAAUACCACUGUUGAGGAGAUAAUUGCAUGAAACUUUCAUAUUUAUUGUUCUCAUGUUAAAGAAAAGACAUGUCAAUAACUAAAAAAAUGACUCUUGUGAGUUUUGUUCCAUGUUCAUGUAUUAUUUGAAUUUAUCUCCAUAUUGCUUGGCUGCUGUAUUUCUGUGCGGUAAAAGUAUUCAUUCCAACGUAUGAUAGUUUUUAUUCCACCAGUUUGGUUUAAAUAUUGUUAUCUGAUUUAAUUUAAUGAGUAAAAUGCAUUUAUUUGGAAGAAAACACAUAAUACUUAUAAUAAACUAAGAUUAACACUAUGUAACAAAAAUAAAAGUGAUUUUUUAGCUUUUUUAUUGGCUGUAAACUGUACGGUUACUUGACAUUUCUUUUUCAAAACUACAUGGUAAACUAUCAUAAAUUGUCUUUUAAAUUGUUCUAUAGACAUUAUGGAAAAUAUUUCAAAUGAUUUCACCAGCUGUUCUUAUAUUUAACUAUAUUUUUAGGAAUUUAGUAAAAUUG